Molecule: long non-coding RNA, 527 nt
Organism: Fukomys damarensis (Damara mole-rat)
Lineage: Eukaryota; Metazoa; Chordata; Mammalia; Rodentia; Bathyergidae
Exons: 3
Source: RefSeq, a predicted model, not a curated record
AUACAGCAAAGGUUAUUAACAAAGGCCACUUCCCUUCCCGGGCAUCUCUCGGGAGACGCAUGUCACAGGCUCCAAACUAGUAGCUAACAAGACUCACACUUGAGAAAAUGCAGUAAAUUAAGGAGAAUUGGAGACUCAUUCUUAGCACAGAAGGAUAUUUAGAAUUAAGCAGAAAGCACAUGAGACAACUACUUGGAAGCAUUUAUGAUUGUUGCCAUCUCACUAAUGACGCAUCUAUGAGUGCAAGAUGUUCUGAAGACCACCCUGAGCUGUUUGUGGCCCAUUCGCUAUUUAUGUAUGACAAGGCCUAAGGCCAGAAGGCAAUGAAACCCACUGAGGCUAACGGUCAAUAGCCUGGGAACUGUGCAACAUGCUUCUAACUUCUGUCUGACACCAGCAAGUUCCAGCUACUACUGAUGGCCCACCACUCAUCUAACUUCACUGCACCGCUAGCCCUCCAUAAAAUGAAGAGACUCCUUGCUUGUGUGAAAUCUAUGCAGAAUCUUAUCUAUGAUAAAGUAUAAGCC